CCUACGGGAGGCAGCAGUGGGGAAUAUUGGACAAUGGGCGAAAGCCUGAUCCAGCAAUGCCGCGUGAGUGAUGAAGGCCUUAGGGUCGUAAAGCUCUUUUACCCGGGAUGAUAAUGACAGUACCGGGAGAAUAAGCUCCGGCUAACUCCGUGCCAGCAGCCGCGGUAAUACGGAGGGAGCUAGCGUUGUUCGGAAUUACUGGGCGUAAAGCGUACGUAGGCGGUUAUUCAAGUCAGAGGUGAAAGCCCGGGGCUCAACCCCGGAACUGCCUUUGAAACUAGAUAGCUAGAAUCUUGGAGAGGUCAGUGGAAUUCCGAGUGUAGAGGUGAAAUUCGUAGAUAUUCGGAAGAACACCAGUGGCGAAGGCGACUGACUGGACAAGCAUUGACGCUGAGGUACGAAAGCGUGGGGAGCAAACAGGAUUAGAUACCCUGGUAGUCCACGCCGUAAACGAUGAUAACUAGCUGUCCGGGUACUUGGUAUCUGGGUGGCGCAGCUAACGCAUUAAGUUAUCCGCCUGGGGAGUACGGUCGCAAGAUUAAAACUUAAGGAAUUGACGGCUGAGACCGNGCGAGACGACACGAGGAGAG
Molecule: ribosomal RNA, 590 nt
Filed under: uncultured bacterium
Lineage: Bacteria
Description: bacterial SSU rRNA
Rfam family: Bacterial small subunit ribosomal RNA
Source: RNAcentral